RNAcentral lists this ribosomal RNA (1359 nucleotides) under uncultured bacterium. RNAcentral describes it as "bacterial SSU rRNA". It matches the Rfam family "Bacterial small subunit ribosomal RNA", at positions 28 to 1381 of the family's 1533-position model. The record is from RNAcentral.
GAUGAACGCUAGCGACAGGCUUAACACAUGCAAGUCGAGGGGCAGCGGGGGAGCAGCAAUGCUCCUGCCGGCGACCGGCGCACGGGUGAGUAACACGUAUGGAACCUGCCCGCAGCAGGGGGAUAAGCGGAAGAAAUUCCGUCUAAUACCGCGUAACACCGCGGAGGGGCAUCCCUCGGCGGUUAAAGAUUCAUCGGCUGCGGAUGGCCAUGCGGCGCAUUAGCUAGUCGGCGGGGUAACGGCCCACCGAGGCGACGAUGCGUAGGGGUUCCGAGAGGAAGGUCCCCCACACUGGUACUGAGACACGGACCAGACUCCUACGGGAGGCAGCAGUGAGGAAUAUUGGUCAAUGGCCGGGAGGCUGAACCAUCCAAGUCGCGUGAGGGAAGACGGCCCUACUGGUUGUAAACCUCUUUUGUCAGGGAGCAAGAGGCGGGUCGGGACCUGCUGUGAGAGUACCCGAAGAAAAAGCAUCGGCUAACUCCGUGCCUUCAGCCGCGGUAAUACUGAGGAUGCGACCGUUAUCCGGAUUUAUUGGGAUUAAAGGGUGCGCAGCGGACGCACAAGUCAGCGGUAAAUCGCGGGGCUCCCUCCGCUCCGCCGUUGAAACUGUGUCCCUUGAGUGCGCGAAGGGUAGGCGGAAUGCGUGGUGUAGCGGUGAAAUGCAUAAAUAUCACGCAGAACUCCGAUCGCGAAGGCAGCCUACCGGCGCGCAACUGACGCUCAUGCACGAAAGCGUGGGUAUCGAACAGGAUUAGAUACCCUGGUAGUCCACGCAGUAAACGAUGAAUGCUAUCUGUCCGGCCGGAAUGACGGCUGGGUGGCACAGCGAAAGCGUUAAGCAUUCCACCUGGGGAGUACGCCGGCAACGGUGAAACUCAAAGGAAUUGACGGGGGCCCGCACAAGCGGAGGAACAUGUGGUUUAAUUCGAUGAUACGCGAGGAACCUUACCCGGACUCAAACGACGCAGGGAUGUAUGUGAAAGCAUACAGUCCUUUCAGGACCUGUGUCGAGGUGCUGCAUGGUUGUCGUCAGCUCGUGCCGUGAGGUGUCGGCUUAAGUGCCAUAACGAGCGCAACCCCCAUCUUCAGUUGCCAUCAGGUAGAGCUGGGCACUCUGGAGAGACUGCCGGCGCAAGCUGCGAGGAAGGCGGGGAUGACGUCAAAUCAGCACGGCCCUUACGUCCGGGGCGACACACGUGUUACAAUGGCAGGUACAGCGGGAAGCCAGGCGGCGACGCCGAGCGGAACCCGAAAACCUGUCUCAGUUCGGAUCGGAGUCUGCAACCCGACUCCGUGAAGCUGGAUUCGCUAGUAAUCGCGCAUCAGCCAUGGCGCGGUGAAUACGUUCCCGGGCCU